GUCCACGCCAUAAACGAUGCUCACUAGGUGUUGGGGAAGCGAUUCCUUGGUACCGUAGCUAACGCGUGAAGUGAGCCGCCUGGGGAGUACGGCCGCAAGGUUAAAACUCAAAGGAAUUGACGGGGACCCGCACAAGCGGUGGAUGAUGUGGAUUAAUUAGAUGCAACGCGAACAACCUUACCUACCCUUGACAUGUCCGAGAGCCUGCUGAAAGGUGGGUGUGCCCGAAAGGGAAUCGGAACACAGGUGCUGCAUGGCUGUAGU
This 264-nucleotide ribosomal RNA is filed under the name uncultured bacterium. Its description in RNAcentral is "partial 16S ribosomal RNA". It matches the Rfam family "Bacterial small subunit ribosomal RNA", at positions 793 to 1055 of the family's 1533-position model. The record is from RNAcentral.